AUGAACGCUGGCGGCGUGUUUAAGGCAUGCAAGUCGAACGCAUUUGGUGCAAAUCAAAUGAGUGGCAAACGGGUGAGUAUCACACAAGUAAUUUGCCCUUAUCUCGGACAUAACUCUGUGAAAACGGAGCUAAUAUCCGGCGGUAUGAAUUUACGAAAGUAAAUUUAUUAAAGGGUCUAGUGAAAGCUAGACUUGGAUAGGGAGAAGCUUGUGCUCUAUCAGGUAGUUGGCGGGGUAAAAGCCCACCAAGCCUAUGACAGAUAGCAGGCGUGAGAGCGCGACCUGCCUCACUGGGACUGAGACACUGCCCAGACUCCUACGGGAGGCUGCAGUCAAGAAUCUUCCUCAAUGGCCGAAAGGCUGAAGGAGCGACGCCGCGUAUAGGAAGAAGUCCUUCGGGAUGUAAACUAUUUUUUUAAGGGAAUAAGUCCGCCGCAAGGUGGAUUGAAGGUACCUUAAGAAUAAGCCACUGCUAACCUCGU
RNAcentral lists this ribosomal RNA (482 nucleotides) under uncultured bacterium. RNAcentral describes it as "bacterial SSU rRNA". It matches the Rfam family "Bacterial small subunit ribosomal RNA", at positions 29 to 506 of the family's 1533-position model. The record is from RNAcentral.